This 1092-nucleotide long non-coding RNA is filed under the name Homo sapiens (human). RNAcentral's name for it is "non-protein coding lnc-USP19-1:4". Lineage: Eukaryota; Metazoa; Chordata; Mammalia; Primates; Hominidae. The record is from RNAcentral.
GCUUGUGGAGGCCACAGAGGAGCUGCGGCGUGAAAUUGGGGAGGCCACUGAGCACCUGACUCAGCUCGAGGCAGACCUGACAGAUGUGCAAGAUGAGAACUUCAAUGCCAACCAUGCACUAAGUGGUCUGGAGCGAGAUAGGCUUGCACUUAAUCUCACACUGCGGCAGCUCGACCAGCAUCUUGACUUGCUCAAACAUUCAAACUUCCUGGGUGCCUAUGACAGCAUCCGGCAUGCCCAUAGCCAGUCUGCAGAGGCAGAACGUCGUGCCAAUACCUCAGCCCUGGCAGUACCUAGCCCUGUGAGCAACUCGGCAAGUGCUCGGCAUCGGACAGAGGCACUGAUGGAUGCUCAGAAGGAGGACUUCAACAGCAAACACAUGGCCAACCAGCGGGCACUUGGCAAGCUCUCUGCCCAUACCCACACCCUGAGCCUGACAGACAUAAAUGAGCUGGUGAGGUUGAAGUGUUGGGUGGGGCAGGUGGGUGUAGAUGUUCCUCUCACAGGGCCCUGACUUGUUCUGUGCCUGGCAGGUGUGUGGGGCACCAGGGGAUGCACCCUGUGCUACAAGCCCUUGUGGGGGUGCCGGCUGUCGAGAUGAGGAUGGGCAGCCGCGCUGUGGGGGCCUCAGCUGCAAUGGGGCAGCGGCUACAGCAGACCUAGCACUGGGCCGGGCCCGGCACACACAGGCAGAGCUGCAGCGGGCACUGGCAGAAGGUGGUAGCAUCCUCAGCAGAGUGGCUGAGACUCGUCGGCAGGCAAGCGAGGCACAGCAGCGGGCCCAGGCAGCCCUGGACAAGGCUAAUGCUUCCAGGGGACAGGUGGAACAGGCCAACCAGGAACUUCAAGAACUUAUCCAGAGUGUGAAGGACUUCCUCAACCGUGAGCCUCCCACGUGUCCCAGGCCAUGUGGUUGUCCCCUUUGGCAACUCCCGGUGUCUGUAUCUCCCUUGGUUCAUACUUGAGCCUCAGGGACUACACUGGAUUAGUGUUUAUGAUCCCUUGACUGGCUCCUGAGUUAUUGCCCAUAUGUGGUCCCAGGUCCAUGUUCUUGAGUCUGAGCCCCUUGUAUAGUCCCUGUCCUUGUGAUUA